CGCAGUGACAGGUGGUGCAUGGCUGUCGUCAGCUCGUGUCGUGAGAUGUUGGGUUAAGUCCCGCAACGAGCGCAACCCACGUCGUUAGUUGCCAGCAUUCAGUUGGGCACUCUAGCGAGACCGCCGGUGAUAAACCGGAGGAAGGUGUGGAUGACGUCAAGUCAUCAUGCCCCUUACAUCCUGGGCUACACACGUACUACAAUGCUACGGACAAAGGGCCGCAAGCUCGCGAGAGUUAGCAAAUCCCAUAAACCGUGGCUCAGUUCAGAUCGUAGGCUGCAACUCGCCUACGUGAAGGAGGAAUCGCUAGUAAUCGCAGGUCAGCAUACUGCGGUGAAUACGUUCCCGGGCCUUGUACACACCGCCCGUCACACCAUGGAAGUGGCCACGCCCGAA
This 396-nucleotide ribosomal RNA is filed under the name uncultured Synechococcus sp. Its description in RNAcentral is "bacterial SSU rRNA". It matches the Rfam family "Bacterial small subunit ribosomal RNA", at positions 1027 to 1425 of the family's 1533-position model. The record is from RNAcentral. Lineage: Bacteria; Bacillati; Cyanobacteriota; Cyanophyceae; Synechococcales; Synechococcaceae.